Non-coding RNA from Nomascus leucogenys (northern white-cheeked gibbon), 78 nucleotides. The record is from Rfam. NCBI's taxonomy places the organism in Eukaryota, Metazoa, Chordata, Mammalia, Primates, Hylobatidae.
UAAAAGGCCUUUCUAAAAUAACUAAGUAGACAAACUGAACAGGCCUAAGGCCACAACACUGCAAAAAUAACUUAUUUU